Non-coding RNA from Rattus norvegicus (Norway rat), 3614 nucleotides. Lineage: Eukaryota; Metazoa; Chordata; Mammalia; Rodentia; Muridae. The record is from RefSeq and is a predicted model, not a curated record.
CCCCGAGGCCUUAUACAGUUUCCUCUUGGGCCAGGGAUGUGGGCAGGGGUGGGCAGUGUUGGUGGUCUCUUCUGCUCUGCAGCCUCAGGAGUGCCCACCUGACCAGGCGGUCGGGUCUCUCUCCCACGGUGUCUGGGAGCAGAGAGCUGCUGCAGGCCGGGAUCCUUGGGUCUGACAUGGUUGUUUUUAACUGUUCUGUCUAGGUCUGUGCUGUUGUUUUAGAGAGAGGAUUUACAGAAAAGCCAUAAGUACUAUCUUACUGGGGCUUUGUUUUGUUUGAUAAGUUAAGCCUGCAGUCAUGCUCCUCAUAUUUUUCCUCUUUACAAUUUUUAAAAAAAUUUGACACAUAUAUGUAUUGCAGUGGUUCUGUCAACUUGAUAUGAUCUAGAUUAACCUGGGAGGUAGGCAUCUGGUCAUGCUUAUGAGGCAUUAUGAUAACUAAGUAAACUGAGAUGGAAAGAUUCAUCCACUGUGGGUGGCACUAUUCCCUAGGCUUGGAAUUUGGACUGUUUAAAAGGAACAAAUGAGAGAGCUCGUGCUGGUCUGCUUCUUGAUCAUGGAUGCAAUGUGACCAUUGCCUCAAGCUCCUGUUGGUGACUUCCCUGCCACCAUGGACUGUGGGCCAGACCAAACUCUUUCCCCCUUAAGUUGUGUCUGUCAAUGUAUUCUAACACACCAACAGGAAAGGGGAGUAAGGUGUAAAUAUCAUGUGAAGAGAAUACUCUUCUUCACACCUCUCUUGUUUCUGUGUCUUUCCUCCUCUACUUUCCUCAGUCCUCAUGGUUAAGUUUACUUUUGCUUUCAUAUCACUCAGAUCUUAUCUUAUGCAGCUGUAUAAAACCCGGGAACUGCAAAGAAGAGAAAAUAUAUUAUAUUUGCCGGAGGCAUUUUGGAGACAGGGUCUCAUGUAGUCUAGGCUGGGCUCAGAAUCAAAACAUAGACAGAGAUGACCUUGAACUUCUAACUCCUAGUCCUUAAUGCUAUCUUUAAAGAGGAAGUCUUGGUCAACUCAGGUGUCAUUCUUCAGGACUCCGACAUCUUGUUUCCUGGAAAAAGCUUUCUCACUAGUCUAGAGCUCAGCUGGCCAGUGAGCCCCAGUGGAGGGAGACCUAAGUUUCAUGAAGAAUCAUGAGAACAGACAGUGAGAAUUGCAGUAGAAGAGGCUCAAAGGAAGGCUACACAGAAUUUCCAUGUGGAAUUUAGGUCUAGUAGGAGAGUAACAGUGGCAAUGAAGGGAAAGGCUAAGGAAGGUUAAGGAAGCUAAGGUGUCAGCCUGGAAUAGGGUAUUCUGUGAGCCAGGUAGGUUAAUGAGGAAGAAGGCAGCUUAGGGUGAAACUUCAGAAGAACCCAGUGGACAGGCUGGAGGGUGGGACUGUGACUUUCUGGAUAUUUGCAGGAAAUCGGAGUUUCGAGAAGAUUACCCCAGUCUCUAUGGAUGUAGGUAAAUCAUGGCGGGAAUGAGAUGGGUGAAGCUGUCCAGCAGCGGCUAUAUAAAUGGUCACACCAGGAAAGUGGCAAUGUUUCUGGGGCCCUUAGCAUCACAGCCCAGGUCCUGACAUCCCCAACAAGUUAGGUUUGGCUACCUGUCCUCUGUAAGCCAAUAAAAUGGCCAGGUACUGGCGGAAAGCUGAGAAAAACGUAUUCAUGUGUCUACACUGGGAUGACAAAAGGGGAGGUCCAAAGACCUCUCCCCCAUCUCCAUCUUCCAGUCUGCAUAAGAUGCUUAAGUUUAAAUAGAAGGCAAGAUGUUUGCAUAACCUAUCAGUGCUGGUCAAGGUACAGUCCCACUCACCAUUAGCCCACCAUUGUCUUGGCUCCCAGUCUCUCCUGCAAGGAAUUGCUGACAAGUCAGAACUGUGUGAAAACUCUUCUUUGGCCAGUACCAGGGCCUCAGCUUUCUCUCUUCUCUUGGCAUGAGAGUCCUGGGGAAAUUCUGAUUUCUUGAGGACCGCUGUUUCUGUGUGACAGCGGAGAGCGGUGCAUAAGUGUCUUCAAAAUGUCCUUAUCUUGGCCAUGAUUGUUUCAGGAGCACCAGCCAGAGGAAGCAGCAGCAGCAGCAACAGCAGCAGCAGCAGCAGCAUGUAGAUGCUGAGAGGGAUGCUGAAGCAUCAUCCCUAUCAUUAAUAACUUAAUACUUUAAUUGUGUUGCCAUGGUACAAGUUGUAAAUAUUGAAACUUGGGCAGUGUAGACUAAGAUGGAGAUCAGGCCUUCUCACAAAGAAAGAUCUAGCUUGAAAAACAUCAGACUGUUGAUUCAAAACUACUUUCUUAUUGUGCCUUUCCACAGUCCCCUGACGGAGGACAAUGAUGCCAGCCAGCCCUUGGGAAACAACAGACUUGAUUCCAAGCAAACAGCUCAAAACCUGUGUCUUUGAACGACCAGCAACACUCCAUGUAUCCUGCCAAAUAGGCAUCGGGCUCUAAAAACCGUCAUUCUCUAAAAGUCACUUUCAUUUUCCCACCAGGCUAAGGAUCUAUGAAAAGGGAGAGGCCAGCUUCUUCAGAGAUCAUGAGUAUCUCCCUGUUUGGGAGGAAUUGUUCUCUUACUGGAACUGCUCACAAAGCAACCUAUUAUAUGGUGAGAGGGACCCUCCAGGCACCAUUGAAAUUAAUAUGAAAGGAACAAUCCAGAAUGCCAAGCACAGUGCAUAAAACGCAGCCAGUCACGAUUUCAGAACCGGUAAUGAAAAGCUCAUAGAGUUAAAGAUUGGAUCCAUAAAAGCCACAAAAAGCCAUGCAACGCAAGAGGACCAAACGAUGGGUAAACAAAACAGACAAAGGAAAAGGAGCAGAGAGCAGGAGGAGGAGGCUGGACCUGCUUUCACAGUCAUCAGAUCUCGCAACCCCACCUGCACGCUGCCUGUCGCAAUGUGUCUCAAGGUGUGUUAGUCUAAAAGCAGGGUUUGGCAACCUUUGCGAACCUGGUAUUUGGGGCCGGAUUGUUCUUUGUUGCAGGUGACAGGAGUGGGGGUUGUUGGUACAUUGUGGGAUGCUUAAGGGCACCCCAGGCCUGAACCUACUGAAUACCAAUAGUACCCACAAUCGUAACAACUAAAACUGCCUCUGUUGCUACCAAGCAUUCCUAUGGAAGGCAAUCUGUCCCCUUUGCUUAAAGGGAAGCAAUGACAGAAAUGACUCCAGGGAGCUGGAGCUGUAAUUAUAUGCAUACCCUUUCUAAAGAUUUUUAAUUUUUUCUUGUGUGUGUGUGUGUGUGUGUGUGUGUGUGUGUGUUUUGUGUGAGGGUGUCUUAUAUGUGGAUAUGCCUGAGGAAGCCAGAGGAAGAUGGCAAAUCCUCUGUGGCUGAAGUUACGGGGAGCUAUGAACUGCCAUGUGGAUGCUGGGAACUAAUCACCAAGCCACUUCUCCAUCCCUCAUUUAAGAAGGACUAAUUAAUAUAAUGUUAACUUUGGCCAAAAAAAAAUCCAAAUUAAUCUAGAGCAGUGCUGCAACCAUUUAAUACAGUUCCUCAUGUUCUGGUGACCCCAAUCAUAGCAUUGUUUUUGUUCUUACUUUGUAGUUGCAAUUUUGCUACUGUAAUGAAUGGUAAUGUAAAUAUCUGAUAUGUAAGAUAUUUGAUAUGCGACCUCAGGUUAAGAACUGCUGCCCGAGAGGGU